GCCCCAGCUGUGUUUCCCUCCUGUUAUUCAUUCCCUGAUUGCUCCCUCUUUGUAUUUAAGCCCUGUGUUUCUCUGUGUCCGUGUCGUGAUCUACCGUUUAUUUUGCUGUGUGUUUUGCCAGUCCACCGGUGUUAGUUUAUUUUCAGUUUUUCCCAGUUAUGUUAUGUUUGCGUUCAGCAUUAAAGCUGUUUUGGUUUAAGUUUGUCUCCGGAGUCUGCACCUUGGGUCCUAUUCCUGUUUGCACACAGCCGUCACAUACCACAUUCAGUCUGUGGAAGACUGUAAGGCUGUAAGUGAUCUGAGGACCAAUUUGCCAUGGGAGACCCUACCAGGGGUAAAAGCCCCCAGACAACAUAGCCCCUGGGAUCCCUGGGACACACAAACCCCUCCACCACGAUAAGGUCAUAACACAAACAAGUCGUCAAGUCAAGCAGUUGAGGAAAGGGCUUAAGGAAACCAUGGUAUGGCCGCUUCUGACAGAAAGAUCAGACAUCAUUCUUCUUUUCUUACCAAGGGAAUCAGAGACUGCUCCCUGUUGUGAGCAUCACGUGGAAGGGUUCGCUGCCAUGUGAAUCUGGAAGGGUUCUGAGAAGGACAAAGCACAGGGGAAGAAACUGUUCUUAUGGCGAGAGGUUCUGGUGCGAAUGGACUGGAGCCUCCUGCCUGAGGGGAGCAGGUCAAACAGACUUUGUCCAGGGUGAGAAGGGUCAGCUGAGAUCCGAGCUGCACGCCCCAGUGUCCUGGAGGUGUACAGGUCCUGCAGAGAUGGGAGUCUGCACCCAAUCACCUUCUCAGCAGAGAGAACAGAAAGCAAAAACACUCAGAUUCUGUUUGAUCUUUAUAUAGAAUGAAU
This is a long non-coding RNA of Astatotilapia calliptera (eastern happy), 853 nucleotides long. The record is from Ensembl. NCBI's taxonomy places the organism in Eukaryota, Metazoa, Chordata, Actinopteri, Cichliformes, Cichlidae.